Hippocampus comes (tiger tail seahorse) is the source of this 1480-nucleotide long non-coding RNA. RefSeq lists it as uncharacterized. The record is from RefSeq and is a predicted model, not a curated record. The transcript is spliced from 2 exons. NCBI's taxonomy places the organism in Eukaryota, Metazoa, Chordata, Actinopteri, Syngnathiformes, Syngnathidae.
GUUAAUGUUACAUUUUACAUAAUUAUACUGUGUCAUUUAUUUCAAACAUUGAUUGUGUGUUUUAGGCCCUCUAAGGACUUUUCUUCAGCUGUAGAAAAAGCCGAAAUGUUGAAGUUGGAAAUCAUGCUGGCAUUGGCGUGCAUCUAAUCAGGUGAAGGGAGCAUGCUGAGUCUUGUGGCCUCUAGUGAAUUCAUUCCUCCUCGUCGCUCCUCCACCCUUGAUGUAGCUAUGGCAACACCAAAUUAAAGCAGCAACUUUUCCAAACACUCCCUAAGUUAAAGGUCCAGAUGAGCUCAGAAUUCCACAGUUGAAGGUGUUUGAUGUUCCACGUGUCCUUGCGAUAACCCUGAAAGCACAACUUUUCAAUCAUCACUCCUGAGACUUAACUUUGGGGCAUGCCCAGAGUGCCGAAACCAAAUAUCUGUUGUGUUUUGUCAUGCAGCUACAGACUGGUCGAGCAGUAUUAAUACAAGCGGAAAGAAGUUACGUUAUCUCUGCUGAGCCUUUUGCAGUCCUGAAGGAUAAAAGCCAAAGCAUUAGCAUGCUGUCAAACUGCUUGUUACUUUACUUGAAAACCAUUGCAAAUUGUGUCAUUUGAAGUCAAAGUGGGUUCUAACUCCAUUGGUUAAAUUAAGUGUUUCAAUUUAAAUACAUCAAUGUGGUGAGAACUCGAUGCGGCAAUUCUUACUCCGAAAUGACUUUUUAUGUGUAAUUGCUGUUACUGAGUCAACGUCCGACUGAAAUGCAAAUAUUCCUCAAAAUGAUGUAACAGCAAUGCUAAGUAAUGUUGUUUGAGAUAAUGUGACAUCAUUGCCACGUCAUUCUUUUUUGUUUAUAAGCUCAUUUUACUUUGAUCCUCUUGAUGAGGGAGUCCAGUAUAUAAUAACUGACCUUUUGAAAAAAAGGCAUUCCGCCCCCAGUUUUUCUUUUUUAUUCACUACACAAUAGUGAUGCUUUAUCCAUCCAAUCAUAUUUAAUACCACUUAACCGGUUUCGGGUCAGGGGGAAACUGGAGCUUGUCCCAAAUGACUCAAUGUGAGACAACACCAAAGACAACACAUUUUCCCCUUCGUUGUGGCGCAGACAAGCAACCAGCGCGCCUCCAGAAAGAUGGUUUGCUUCUUCCACUGGGCGAAAAGAGGCAAGAGUUGUGGCAAAACACCUUAGGGCUGCCCUACUAUGACAACACACCUGCAUACAAUGCUCUGAGCACCUGACUGAAGAGAAACCUUGCUGCAACCUCUCUACUCACCCGACUUGACUUUGUGUAAUUUUGUUGCCUUUUUUCCAAGCUCAAGUGAGUCAUUAAGGCCCCUGUUUUCAAGAUGUUGACAAGAUAAAGACGUCCGUGGCGACAGAGCUGCUGAUGAUCCUGUAGAAAUCCUUUCAGGGGUCCAUGAAAGCGUGGUAAAGAAGGCUCUACAGGAAGCUCAAGCGGGGAACUUUCAGUUUGGAUUUGAAAUCAAUGUUUUUGUAAAUA